RNAcentral lists this long non-coding RNA (1153 nucleotides) under Coturnix japonica (Japanese quail). Its description in RNAcentral is "lncRNA (ENSCJPG00005001605.1)". The record is from RNAcentral. Lineage: Eukaryota; Metazoa; Chordata; Aves; Galliformes; Phasianidae.
GUCUCGCUGUUGGAGCAGCUCCUGGUACCGGAUAACGCCGUUAUUCAGCAGGCCACGAAGCGGCUCCGUGAGGCCUUGAAGGAACCGGGGGCUGUGGGGAGCCUGGCCCAGAUCGUCGGUGGGGAACAGAGGCCGCAGGUGGGGGCCCCAUAGAGAUACAUGGGGACCCAUAGAGACCCACAGGGACCCCAUAGGGACCCAUAGAGACCCAUAGAGACCCCAUAGAAAUACAUAGGGAACCAUAGAGAGACAUGGGGACCCAUAGGGAUACAUAGAGACCCAUAGAGACCCAUAGGGACCCAUAGAGCCCCAUAGGGAUACAUAGGGACCCAUAGAGACCCCAUAGGGACUCAUAGAGACCCCAUAGGGACUUAUAGAGAUACAUAGGGAACCAUAGGGACCCAUAGAGACCCAUAGAGAAACAUGGGGACCCAUAGGGACCCAUAGAGAUACAUUGGGACCCAUAGGGACCCAUAGGGACCCAUAGAGAUACAUGGGGACCCAUAGAGAUACAUUGGGAUACAUGGGGACCCAUAGAGACCCCAUAGAGAUACAUAGAGACCCAUAGGGAGACAUGGGGACCCAUAGGGACCCAUAGAGAGACAUAGGGACCCAUAGAGACCCAUAGGGACCCAUAGAGACACAUGGGGACCCCAUAGAGACCCAUAGGGACACGUAGAGAUACAUUGGGAUACAUGGGGACCCAUAGAGACCCCAUAGAGAUACAUGGGGACCCCAUAGGGAGACAUGGGGACCCAUAGAGACCCAUAGGGACCCAUAGAGACACAUUGCGACGCAUAGAGACACAUAGGGACCCAUAGGGACCCAUAGAGGCCCCAUAGAGGUACAUGGGGACCCCAUAGGGAGACAUGGGGACCCAUAGAGAUACAUAGAGAUACAUAGGGACCCAUAGGGAGACAUGAGACCCCAUAGAGACCCAUAGAGUCCCAUAGGGACCCAUAGGGAUACAUAGAGACCCAUAGGGAUGCAUAGAGAUACAUAAGGACCCAUAGGGACCCAUAGUUGCCCCAUAGGGACCCAUAGAGACCCCAUAGGGAGACAUGGGGACCCAUAGAGAUACAUAGGGACCCAUAGAGAUACAUAGGGACCCAUAGAGAUACAUAGGGACCCAUAGAGACACAUAGGGACCCAU